Molecule: long non-coding RNA, 631 nt
Filed under: Sus scrofa (pig)
Lineage: Eukaryota; Metazoa; Chordata; Mammalia; Artiodactyla; Suidae
Description: lncRNA (ENSSSCG00070019859.1)
Source: RNAcentral
CACGGAACCCGCCGCGCCGGCGCGACCCCCUCCCCCAGAGCCCUCGGGUGGCUUCUCCCGCGCCCUCCCGGGAUGCUCCUGCCGGCCGGGCCGACCUCCGCGUCCGCAUCUCUCUGGGGGGGGCGAGGGGACGGGACCGAUGCUCUCCUGUCCAAGGGGCCAGGUCCUCCCAGGGCCCGCCAGAAGAGCCAUACCCAACCCCACCGUCUGUGGGCAAGGCCAGCAGACCCUCUGCCCACUCGCAGGCCAGGGCUCACGACCCGAGGGCGCCCAGAGGGAGAGGAGGCCCCUUUGUGUGACUAAAUUUGGCAAGAAUAUGGAUCCGAGCCAGUCUUUCCACGUGUGCUCCCAGCUCCCAGCUGAGAAGGCCAAGGGUUCUCUUCCGGGAGAACCAGUUUGGCUAUUAAGGGAACCUCUCAGCACAGUGCAGAGCAAGAGAAAAAGCAAGAUUUCAGAGAGAAUAGCUGUUUACCAUCAAAGCGAACUGGGUUCCACACAGACAUGGUAUAUUAUACACAGAAACGAAGGUGAAAAUCCUAAGGUGGAGAAGAGACUGAAUAUGCCCACUGUGCCCAAGGCAGGGUUAGAGUUGAUUUGGGGUUUACUUGGCUUCAUGGAUUUGAAACCAUAG